Erinaceus europaeus (western European hedgehog) is the source of this 424-nucleotide long non-coding RNA. RefSeq lists it as uncharacterized. The record is from RefSeq and is a predicted model, not a curated record. Lineage: Eukaryota; Metazoa; Chordata; Mammalia; Eulipotyphla; Erinaceidae. The transcript has 3 exons.
ACGAAGGGGAAAAACUAUUUGGCUGAGGUCAGCAGAGCCCAACAAGCAUGGGUUUGGCAAGCUACUGUUUCCUUUCCAGAAGGCAAGCCUGCAUGCCAGUACUCCUUCAGGCUCUCAUCACUGGAGACAGGACAACAGCUGCAGUGGCACUGGAGGACAGUUCCCAGGCCCUGGUGAAGGAGUUGGAAUGGAAGCCCAGCCCAGGCAGAGGCAUCUUUGAAGGGCCAUCAGACAGUCUCUACUCCCUCUCUUCUCCCUUCCGCACUUCUAGGGCUGGCUACAUGGAGGGGGUGUGCCCACAGCAUAUCUUCUGUGUGAGAGUGAGAGACGGAGAAAGGGAAGGAAAGACACCUGCAGUACUUCUCCACUGCUUGCAAAGCUUCCCACCAGGUCCUCACACAUAGUCAUGUGAGCAUUCUACCAG